AUUACUCAACUCCCUUGAUUUUUAUUUUCAUUCGAGUUGGAUUUGGAGGAACUUAUUGCUGGCCCUUUUGUGGGUCGGCUCCUCUUAAAUGCAUUAGCUGAGCUUUCACUUGAUGCAAUGGUGUAAUAAUUAUCUUCACCGAUGCAACUAGUGAUAUGGGCUUGCUUCUAGUCGUCUCUUUCGGGACAUUAUAAAAGAAAACUUCUUUUUGACUC
This 215-nucleotide unclassified non-coding RNA is filed under the name uncultured Fuscoporia. RNAcentral's name for it is "sequence contains ITS2". Lineage: Eukaryota; Fungi; Basidiomycota; Agaricomycetes; Hymenochaetales; Hymenochaetaceae. The record is from RNAcentral.